Molecule: ribosomal RNA, 995 nt
Filed under: uncultured bacterium
Lineage: Bacteria
Description: bacterial SSU rRNA
Rfam family: Bacterial small subunit ribosomal RNA
Source: RNAcentral
GGGGGAUAUUGCACAAUGGGGGAAACCCUGAUGCAGCGACGCCGCGUGGAGGAAGAAGGUUUUCGGAUUGUAAACUCCUGUUGUUGAGGAAGAUAAUGACGGUACUCAACAAGGAAGUGACGGCUAACUACGUGCCAGCAGCCGCGGUAAAACGUAGGUCACAAGCGUUGUCCGGAAUUACUGGGUGUAAAGGGAGCGCAGGCGGGCGAUCAAGUUGGAAGUGAAAUCCAUGGGCUCAACCCAUGAACUGCUUUCAAAACUGGUCGUCUUGAGUAGUGCAGAGGUAGGCGGAAUUCCCGGUGUAGCGGUGGAAUGCGUAGAUAUCGGGAGGAACACCAGUGGCGAAGGCGGCCUACUGGGCACCAACUGACGCUGAGGCUCGAAAGUGUGGGUAGCAAACAGGAUUAGAUACCCUGGUAGUCCACACCGUAAACGAUGAUUACUAGGUGUUGGGAGAUUGACCCUCUCAGUGCCGCAGUUAACACAAUAAGUAAUCCACCUGGGGAGUACGACCGCAAGGUUGAAACUCAAAGGAAUUGACGGGGGCCCGCACAAGCAGUGGAGUAUGUGGUUUAAUUCGACGCAACGCGAAGAACCUUACCAAGUCUUGACAUCCCUUGACGAUGCUGGAAACAGUAUUUCUCUUCGGAGCAAGGAGACAGGUGGUGCAUGGUUGUCGUCAGCUCGUGUCGUGAGAUGUUGGGUUAAGUCCCGCAACGAGCGCAACCCUUAUGGUCAGUUACUACGCAAGAGGACUCUGGCCAGACUGCCGUUGACAAAACGGAGGAAGGUGGGGAUGACGUCAAAUCAUCAUGCCCUUUAUGACUUGGGCUACACACGUACUACAAUGGCGUUAAACAAAGAGAAGCAAGACCGCGAGGUGGAGCAAAACUCAGAAACAACGUCCCAGUUCGGACUGCAGGCUGCAACUCGCCUGCACGAAGUCGGAAUUGCUAGUAAUCGUGGAUCAGCAUGCCACGGUGAAUACGUUCCCG